This is a ribosomal RNA of 424 nucleotides. It matches the Rfam family "Bacterial large subunit ribosomal RNA", at positions 1909 to 2550 of the family's 2925-position model.
CCAGUGAACAAUUAAACGGCCGCGGUACCCUAACCGUGCAAAGGUAGCAUAAUCAUUUGUCUACUAAUUAUAGACCUGUAUGAAAGGCAAAAUGAGGGCCUAACUGUCUCUUAUAGCGAAUCAAUUAAACUGAUCUCCUAGUAAAAAAGCUAGAAUUUCUCCAUAAGACCAGAAGACCCUGUGAAGCUUAAACUAAACUAUUAAAUCACAUAAUAACUACUUUCGGUUGGGGCGACCUUGGAAAAAAAAAGAACUUCCAACAACCAUGACUAUUCAUCAACCACCCUAGGCCUACAAGCCAAUUAACGACCCAGCACAGCUGAUCAAUGAACCAAGUUACUCCAGGGAUAACAGCGCAAUCCUCUUCAAGAGCCCAUAUCAAAAAGAGGGUUUACGACCUCGAUGUUGGAUCAGGACAUCCUAA